This 1228-nucleotide long non-coding RNA is filed under the name Bos mutus (wild yak). Its description in RNAcentral is "lncRNA (ENSBMUG00000011604.1)". The stretch from base 935 to 1063 matches the Rfam family "CDKN2B antisense RNA 1 convserved region 3". The record is from RNAcentral. Lineage: Eukaryota; Metazoa; Chordata; Mammalia; Artiodactyla; Bovidae.
AGAGAAUGUAGGUGGCCAUGCUCUGAUGGCACCUCCCAUCUUGUCUCUGACCCAACCCAUAAGACUCUCUGGUAGUCAGGGUGAUAUGUGCCCGUGAUGCACACCCGUACUGCUGUUUGGGGUCAUCUUCCAGGGCUAUGUGGGAAGAGAAGACUAAUGGGAAGACAUUUCUUCUAAGUUCAAUCUGAACAUUCUUAGAGAAUAUCACAAAGGCUUGCUUUCAGGUUUUUAAAAAUAAUUUUCCAUUUUCAUGUAUUUACUUCUGAUUUUGUAUAUUUACAAGUUAAUUUUAUUUUGUUUGUAGUUACUAGGGUCUGAAUCUUGUGGUAUUAAUACUCCAUGAUUCAAAUGAGCAAAAACGUGCUUCCUGUUACAAAAUGGGGAGUGAAUAAUAUAGAAAAGUAAUAUUUUCCUCAUAGGACCAUUCCAUUUUGUACAGUCUCUUGAAUUCUAAUUCCCACCUGUUCAUGGGCUAUAACUUUAGUAAUAUUUCCUCAAAGUAGAUUUUGCAAGUCUAUUUUUCUUGAUCUAAAGACAUAAAGCUCAAAGUUCUUCUUGGAAAGAGAAUUAAAAACAUUUUAGUUACCCUUAUCACUUAGAAAAUCACAUGUCAGUCAAAACUUACAUGUCAUACUGAAAAAGCAAAACUCAGAUGCUGUCUGCUCAGAGAGAGAUUUCUUUGCAGUUACACAACCCACCAGGUAUUUGAAGCCCAUGAGUAAUGUGCUUCUCCUUUGUUUGUAGAAUUGUUCUUGGUUGGAAGGACAUGCAGAGGAAGUGGUGAGUGGUAACAUCCCUGCCUGGAAGGAGCCCUAAGAAGUGCCUGAACUGUACCUUUCUGUUUGCUCCUCUGCCCUGUGGAGUGCCCAGUUUGGUAAGAUGUCCUGUGAGAACCUGAAGUGUGAAGGAGCUGAAAGCAGUCAUUCUCUCUUUUGAUGAGAGGAAGAAUAGCUUCAUUCUGAAUCAAUGAAAAGACUUCUGUCUUCUUGCCAGCAGAUAUAUGUUAUCUUCACUUAUAGAAUUGAAAGUGUACCUCAAAGGAGCAUUCUCUUGGGAAGAAAGGUUUUAGAGGGGAACUCUGGAUGCUGGUGGAUCGGUGACAAAAAGCACUUAUUUUACCCCUGACCUGAGCACUGAAGAGAUAUCCUUUCACCACUGUUGCAAAUUCAUGCUUCCAAGAACUGGUGAGUUGAAAAACUUAUUCAUUGUGUCUCCAUUAAAGAAGAUA